AAUAAGCGGAGGAAAAGAAACCAACCGGGAUUGCCUUAGUAACGGCGAGUGAAGCGGCAAAAGCUCAAAUUUGAAAUCUGGUACCUUCGGUGCCCGAGUUGUAAUUUGGAGAGGGCAACUUUGGGGCCGUUCCUUGUCUAUGUUCCUUGGAACAGGACGUCAUAGAGGGUGAGAAUCCCGUGUGGCGAGGAGUGCGGUUCUUUGUAAAGUGCCUUCGAAGAGUCGAGUUGUUUGGGAAUGCAGCUCUAAGUGGGUGGUAAAUUCCAUCUAAAGCUAAAUAUUGGCGAGAGACCGAUAGCGAACAAGUACAGUGAUGGAAAGAUGAAAAGAACUUUGAAAAGAGAGUGAAAAAGUACGUGAAAUUGUUGAAAGGGAAGGGCAUUUGAUCAGACAUGGUGUUUUGUGCCCUCUGCUCCUUGUGGGUAGGGGAAUCUCGCAUUUCACUGGGCCAGCAUCAGUUUUGGUGGCAGGAUAAAUCCAUAGGAAUGUAGCUUGCCUCGGUAAGUAUUAUAGCCUGUGGGAAUACUGCCAGCUGGGACUGAGGACUGCGACGUAAGUCAAGGAUGCUGGCAUAAUGGUUAUAUGCCGCCCGUC
RNAcentral lists this ribosomal RNA (594 nucleotides) under Saccharomyces cerevisiae (brewer's yeast). RNAcentral describes it as "eukaryotic LSU rRNA". It matches the Rfam family "Eukaryotic large subunit ribosomal RNA", at positions 45 to 653 of the family's 3401-position model. The record is from RNAcentral. Lineage: Eukaryota; Fungi; Ascomycota; Saccharomycetes; Saccharomycetales; Saccharomycetaceae.